This 447-nucleotide ribosomal RNA is filed under the name uncultured bacterium. RNAcentral's name for it is "bacterial SSU rRNA". It matches the Rfam family "Bacterial small subunit ribosomal RNA", at positions 328 to 792 of the family's 1533-position model. The record is from RNAcentral.
GUCCCAGACUCCUACGGGAGGCAGCAGUGGGGAAUAUUGCACAAUGGGGGAACCCUGAUGCAGCGACGCCGCGUGGGUGAAGGAGUAUUUCGGUAUGUAAAGCCCUAUCAGCAGGGAAGAACAAUGACGGUACCUGACUAAGAAGCACCGGCUAAAUACGUGCCAGCAGCCGCGGUAAUACGUAUGGUGCAAGCGUUAUCCGGAUUUACUGGGUGUAAAGGGAGCGCAGGCGGCGCGUUAAGCCUGGUGUGAAAGCCCGCGGCCCAACCGCGGGACUGCAUUGGGAACUGGCGCGCUGGAGUGCCGGAGGGGUAGGCGGAAUUCCUAGUGUAGCGGUGAAAUGCGUAGAUAUUAGGAGGAACACCAGUGGCGAAGGCGGCCUGCUGGACUGCAACUGACGUUGAGGCUCGAAGGCGUGGGGAGCAAACAGGAUUAGAUACCCGAGCA